UACGAAGGGUGCAAGCGUUGCUCGGAAUUACUGGGCGUAAAGCGCACGUAGGCGGAUUGUUAAGUCGGGGGUGAAAGCCUGUGGCUCAACCACAGAAUGGCCUUCGAUACUGGACGGCUCGAGACCGGAAGAGGUCAGUGGAACUGCGAGUGUAGAGGUGAAAUUCGUAGAUAUUCGCAAGAACACCAGUGGCGAAGGCGGCUGACUGGUCCGGUUCUGACGCUGAGGCGCGAAAGCGUGGGGAGCAAACAGG
RNAcentral lists this ribosomal RNA (253 nucleotides) under uncultured bacterium. RNAcentral describes it as "partial 16S ribosomal RNA". It matches the Rfam family "Bacterial small subunit ribosomal RNA", at positions 524 to 776 of the family's 1533-position model. The record is from RNAcentral.